RNAcentral lists this ribosomal RNA (255 nucleotides) under uncultured bacterium. RNAcentral's name for it is "partial 16S ribosomal RNA". It matches the Rfam family "Bacterial small subunit ribosomal RNA", at positions 793 to 1055 of the family's 1533-position model. The record is from RNAcentral.
GUCCGCACCGUAACGAUGAUUACUCGUUGUUGGCAAUAUGACCGUCAGCGACCAAGCGAAGCGAUAAGUAAUCCACCUGGGAGUACGCCGGCAACGGUGAACUCAAAGGAAUUGACGGGGCCCGCACAAGCGGAGGAGCAUGUGGUUUAAUUCGAUGAUACGCGAGGAACCUUACCUGGGCUUGAAAGUUAGUGACCGGUUCUGAAAGGAACUUUUUCCGCAAGGACACGAAACUAGGUGCUGCAUGGCUGUCGU